Molecule: small RNA, 96 nt
Filed under: Escherichia coli
Lineage: Bacteria; Pseudomonadati; Pseudomonadota; Gammaproteobacteria; Enterobacterales; Enterobacteriaceae
Description: partial RtT sRNA
Rfam family: RtT RNA
About the family: This family represents a bacterial cis-regulatory element known as RtT RNA. The exact function of RtT is unknown although it is thought that it may be involved in changing the cellular response in relation to amino acid starvation.
Source: RNAcentral
UAAGGUUCGACUCGAGCGCCAGCGAGAGAGCGUUGCCGCAGGCAACGACCCGAAGGGCGAAGCGCGCAGCGCUGAGUAAUCCUUCCCCCACCACCA